UCCCGUUUAGCUCAGUGGUAGAGCGCAUCACUAGUAUAAGAUGCUAUGAUGAGGCCAGUCGUUCAAGUCGGCUAAUGGGAA
Molecule: non-coding RNA, 81 nt
Organism: Abortiporus biennis
Lineage: Eukaryota; Fungi; Basidiomycota; Agaricomycetes; Polyporales; Podoscyphaceae
Source: the annotation of a GenBank genome assembly